AGCGCCAGGGAAUUACGAGCAAUGCUUAAAACCCAAAGGAUUUGACGGUAUCCCAUCCACCUAGAGGAGCCUGUUCUAUAAUCGAUAACCCCCGCUAUACCCAACCACUCCUAGCUUAUCAGCCUGUAUACCUCCGUCGAAAGCCUACCAUGUGAAUGUUCUCAGUAAGCUUAAUGUCCCCGUCAAAACGUCAGGUCAAGGUGCAGCUCAUGGAGCGGAAAGAAAUGGGCUACAAUUUCUAACCUAGAACACACGAAAAACUAGGUGAAACCCUAGUCAUGAAGGCGGAUUUAGUAGUAAAAAGAAAAUAGAGUGUUCUUUUUAAUUUGGCCCUGGGAUGUGUACACACCGCCCGUCACCCUCUUCGACUGUAUUUAAUACUGUUUUAUAACUUUCCCCCACAUUUUAGAAGAGGCAAGUCGUAACAUGGUAAGUGUACUGGAAAGUGCACUUGGCUAACAA
RNAcentral lists this ribosomal RNA (462 nucleotides) under Sanguirana igorota. RNAcentral describes it as "partial 12S ribosomal RNA". It matches the Rfam family "Bacterial small subunit ribosomal RNA", at positions 868 to 1533 of the family's 1533-position model. Lineage: Eukaryota; Metazoa; Chordata; Amphibia; Anura; Ranidae. The record is from RNAcentral.